This 1342-nucleotide ribosomal RNA is filed under the name uncultured bacterium. RNAcentral's name for it is "bacterial SSU rRNA". It matches the Rfam family "Bacterial small subunit ribosomal RNA", at positions 28 to 1381 of the family's 1533-position model. The record is from RNAcentral.
GACGAACGCUGGCGGCGUGCUUAACACAUGCAAGUCGGACGAUGAAGCCCUUCGGGGUGGAUUAGUGGCGAACGGGUGAGUAACACGUGGGCAAUCUGCCCUGCACUCUGGGACAAGCCCUGGAAACGGGGUCUAAUACCGGAUACGAGCCUCCUGGGCAUCUGGGAGGUUGGAAAGCUCCGGCGGUGCAGGAUGAGCCCGCGGCCUAUCAGCUUGUUGGUGAGGUAACGGCUCACCAAGGCGACGACGGGUAGCCGGCCUGAGAGGGCGACCGGCCACACUGGGACUGAGACGCGGCCCAGACUCCUACGGGAGGCAGCAGUGGGGAAUAUUGCACAAUGGGCGAAAGCCUGAUGCAGCGACGCCGCGUGAGGGAUGACGGCCUUCGGGUUGUAAACCUCUUUCAGCAGGGAAGAAGCGAGAGUGACGGUACCUGCAGAAGAAGCGCCGGCUAACUACGUGCCAGCAGCCGCGGUAAUACGUAGGGCGCAAGCGUUGUCCGGAAUUAUUGGGCGUAAAGAGCUCGUAGGCGGCUUGUCGCGUCGAUUGUGAAGCCCGGGGCUUAACUCCGGGUCUGCAGUCGAUACGGGCAGGCUAGAGUGUGGUAGGGGAGAUCGGAAUUCCUGGUGUAGCGGUGAAAUGCGCAGAUAUCAGGAGGAACACCGGUGGCGAAGGCGGAUCUCUGGGCCAUUACUGACGCUGAGGAGCGAAAGCGUGGGGAGCGAACAGGAUUAGAUACCCUGGUAGUCCACGCCGUAAACGGUGGGCACUAGGUGUUGGCGACAUUCCACGUCGUCGGUGCCGCAGCUAACGCAUUAAGUGCCCCGCCUGGGGAGUACGGCCGCAAGGCUAAAACUCAAAGGAAUUGACGGGGGCCCGCACAAGCGGCGGAGCAUGUGGCUUAAUUCGACGCAACGCGAAGAACCUUACCAAGGCUUGACAUACACCGGAAACAUCCAGAGAUGGGUGCCCCCUUGUGGUCGGUGUACAGGUGGUGCAUGGCUGUCGUCAGCUCGUGUCGUGAGAUGUUGGGUUAAGUCCCGCAACGAGCGCAACCCUUGUCCCGUGUUGCCAGCAGGCCCUUGUGGUGCUGGGGACUCACGGGAGACCGCCGGGGUCAACCCGGAGGAAGGUGGGGACGACGUCAAGUCAUCAUGCCCCUUAUGUCUUGGGCCGCACACGUGCUACAAUGGCCGGUACAAUGAGCUGCGAUACCGUGAGGUGGAGCGAAUCUCAAAAAGCCGGUCUCAGUUCGGAUUGGGGUCUGCAACUCGACCCCAUGAAGUCGGAGUCGCUAGUAAUCGCAGAUCAGCAUUGCUGCGGUGAAUACGUUCCCGGGCCU